This is a long non-coding RNA of Dreissena polymorpha, 1157 nucleotides long. RefSeq lists it as uncharacterized. The transcript has 2 exons. Lineage: Eukaryota; Metazoa; Mollusca; Bivalvia; Myida; Dreissenidae. The record is from RefSeq and is a predicted model, not a curated record.
ACCAGAUCCAGUACAAUGAGCUUGUAGAGAAAAGCAGGUCUUACUGCCAGGCAAGGGACUAUGAGAUGGGGCUGGCUUGCGUGCUACAGGCUCUAGAGAUCUACCAGGACGAGGAACUGCAGUCUACAGCCAUGCUUAUACAGCGCAAGGUGCUGCGUCGACAGAAUAGGCAACCGCACUGAGGCACGCUGCAUAUGAUAAAACUGUCAUUAUUUGCUUUGUAAACAGGAUGUCGUACUCGUGCAGUAUUUGAACUUGAGAAUUUAUUGUUCAUGAUUAUUCUAUCCAAGAAAUGUUUUUUUGAUGUACACAUAUUAAAAUACAAUCUUUUCACAAUCAGAUAGAUUUAAACAUAUGUGUGCCUAUAUAUUUACGUUGUUUUUUUUUAUAUAUAAAUUUUUAUCAUCUUUUUUGGAUAUAUAAAGCAAUACUGUUAUUAUUGUUUGAAUACCUAUCUACAGGAAUAGUUAGGAGUACAUGUUUAUUCUGACGAUUUAAAAUGUUGAGCUGCUUUGAUUUCACAUUUAAAUUGUCAACAGUUUGCCCAUAAAUUCUUAUUUAUAACUAUUUUCAGAAAAAUAUUGUUUCUGCAUGACCCAAUUAUAAAUUUGUGAUUGAUGAGGAAUUAAGGGUAAGAAAAAUCAUUUAGUUUAUUUAUCUAGCAGAGUUAACACCCAUGGAAACAUACAGGGUUCUCACUGCCAUUCCCAAUUGUUGCCAAAAAUGCCAAAGUUUUUUUAAAAGGGGUGAUACAAUUUUCAAUUUGCGAAAAACAAGUGGCGAUUUUAAAUCUCUGCCAUUAGUUUCCUCAUUUACAGGUUAUGCAAAUUUGAACAUUGAAAUGGACGGUCAGGAGCAAUUAGACUUAUUGGAAUUGUUUUUUAUUAAUUGCCAUUUAACUAUGCUUCUGCAAAAUUUAAUGGCCCAUUAAAACAAUCUACAAUCAAUGACAAAUCAGAAAAAAUAGAGAUUUUAUUUACUUAUGUCUUACAAUAAUUGAAAUGCAUCCUUUUGAAAUCAAAAACUAAUUUCAGCCUCUACUAUAGAAAUUAAUUCAGCAGAAAUGAGGCUAAUCAAUUUUUAUGUACAUAGAAGGUUAAGGGUUAAAUAUAUAAAGUUAACUCAGUUAAGUACAUCAAUAAAUCAACAUCAUCACA